AUACUUACCUGGCAGGGGGGUCUCCAUGAUCACUAAGGUGGAUCCCCUACGGCGAGGCGCGGCCAUUGCACUGACGGUUGCGCUGACCUGUACGAAUCCCUCAAAUGUAGGAAUCUCGACUGCAUAAUUUGUGGUAGUGGGGGACUGCGUUCGCGCUCUCCCCUG
Small nuclear RNA from Gymnodraco acuticeps, 165 nucleotides. RefSeq annotates it as U1 spliceosomal RNA. NCBI's taxonomy places the organism in Eukaryota, Metazoa, Chordata, Actinopteri, Perciformes, Bathydraconidae. The record is from RefSeq and is a predicted model, not a curated record. The transcript has a single exon.